UACAGGGGGUGCAAACGUUGCUCGGAAUCAUUGGGCGUAAAGCGCACGUAGGCGGUUCGUUAUGUCGGAUGUGAAAGCCCUUGGCUUAACCGAGGAAGUGCAUCCGAAACUGGCGAGCUAGAGUACUAAAGAGGAUCGCGGAAUUCCCGGUGUAGAGGUGAAAUUCGUAGAUAUCGGGAGGAACACCGGUGGCGAAGGCGGCGAUCUGGGUAGAUACUGACGCUGAGGUGCGAAAGCGUGGGUAGCGAACAGG
This 253-nucleotide ribosomal RNA is filed under the name uncultured bacterium. RNAcentral's name for it is "partial 16S ribosomal RNA". It matches the Rfam family "Bacterial small subunit ribosomal RNA", at positions 524 to 776 of the family's 1533-position model. The record is from RNAcentral.